This 301-nucleotide ribosomal RNA is filed under the name uncultured bacterium. Its description in RNAcentral is "partial 16S ribosomal RNA". It matches the Rfam family "Bacterial small subunit ribosomal RNA", at positions 509 to 807 of the family's 1533-position model. The record is from RNAcentral.
CAGCCGCCGCGGGAAUACGAAGGGUGCAAGCGUUAAUCGGAAUUACUGGGCGUAAAGCGUGUGUAGGCGGUGAGUUAAGUCUGCUGUGAAAUCCCCGGGCUCAACCUGGGAAUGGCAGUGGAUACUGGCUCGCUAGAGUGUGUCAGAGGAUGGUGGAAUUCCCGGUGUAGCGGUGAAAUGCGUAGAGAUCGGGAGGAACAUCAGUGGCGAAGGCGGCCAUCUGGGACAACACUGACGCUGAGGCACGAAAGCGUGGGGAGCAAACAGGAUUAGAUACCCCCGUAGUCCCUGUCUCUUAUAC